CGCUGGCGGAAUGCUUUACACAUGCAAGUCGAACGGCAGCACGGGGGCAACCCUGGUGGCGAGUGGCGAACGGGUGAGUAAUACGUCGGAACGUGCCCAGUCGUGGGGGAUAACUACGCGAAAGCGUAGCUAAUACCGCAUACGAUCUACGGAUGAAAGCGGGGGAUCGCAAGACCUCGCGCGAUUGGAGCGGCCGAUGGCAGAUUAGGUAGUUGGUGGGGUAAAGGCUCACCAAGCCGACGAUCUGUAGCUGGUCUGAGAGGACGACCAGCCACACUGGGACUGAGACACGGCCCAGACUCCUACGGGAGGCAGCAGUGGGGAAUUUUGGACAAUGGGCGCAAGCCUGAUCCAGCCAUUCCGCGUGCAGGAUGAAGGCCCUCGGGUUGUAAACUGCUUUUGUACGGAACGAAACGGCGCUUUCUAAUACAGAGCGCUAAUGACGGUACCGUAAGAAUAAGCACCGGCUAACUACGUGCCAGCAGCCGCGGUAAUACGUAGGGUGCAAGCGUUAAUCGGAAUUACUGGGCGUAAAGCGUGCGCAGGCGGUGAUGUAAGACAGAUGUGAAAUCCCCGGGCUCAACCUGGGAACUGCAUUUGUGACUGCAUCGCUGGAGUGCGGCAGAGGGG
RNAcentral lists this ribosomal RNA (630 nucleotides) under uncultured soil bacterium. Its description in RNAcentral is "bacterial SSU rRNA". It matches the Rfam family "Bacterial small subunit ribosomal RNA", at positions 34 to 659 of the family's 1533-position model. The record is from RNAcentral.